UGGGGGAUAUUGCACAAUGGGCGAAAGCCUGAUGCAGCGACGCCGCGUGGGGGAUGAAGGCUUUCGGGUUGUAAACCUCUUUCGCUAUCGAACAAGGCCCGCUUAGGGUGGGUUGAGGGUAGGUGGAGAAGAAGCGCCGGCUAACUACGUGCCAGCAGCCGCGGUAAUACGUAGGGCGCGAGCGUUGUCCGGAAUUAUUGGGCGUAAAGGGCUUGUAGGCGGCUUGUUGCGCCUGCUGUGAAAACGCGGGGCUUAACUUCGUGAGUGCAGUGGGUACGGGCAGGCUUGAGUGUGGUAGGGGUGACUGGAAUUCCAGGUGUAGCGGUGGAAUGCGCAGAUAUCUGGAGGAACACCGAUGGCGAAGGCAGGUCACUGGGCCAUUACUGACGCUGAGGAGCGAAAGCAUGGGUAGCGAACAGG
This 420-nucleotide ribosomal RNA is filed under the name bacterium. Its description in RNAcentral is "partial 16S ribosomal RNA". It matches the Rfam family "Bacterial small subunit ribosomal RNA", at positions 355 to 776 of the family's 1533-position model. The record is from RNAcentral.